UAUUUUUAUUGAACAAGUGAUGCAGUAUCCUAGUCGGGAACCCUUUUUUGAAGGCGGGCCCAAAAAUCCGUCAAGGGCACAUCGAUGAAGUUCCUGGUGCUGGCUGCCGACGCCCAGUUGGGGGUUGGUACUGGGAGUUAAGGGGGCGGGGCGACCCGCAAUGGCAUGUGGGCGUUGACCCUGCCCCCGUGGAGACCCAAGUGCGUGGUGGCUUGUUAACGCAGUUGCUAUGGCUUGGGGGUAAACCUGCUCGUGGGGAAAGCUGCGUGCAGUGUAGCCUGCCUUGAGUGGUGCCGGUGGAGGCUUUUAUAUUGGGACAUUACGUAUGGGCCCAUGCGUGAUGUACUCUCGGCUUAAACCGUCAUUGCAAAAGAGGCUAGGAAAAGGUACUCCCGUUGAGGAAAACUCCUAGGCUGUCCGGUAAAUCGGGACGAUGCGGGGAUUGCAGUGUGGACUAAGUGGUAAUCCAGCCCCGGAUACUAAAUCUAAAUCCGGAAUUUCGUUUAAUGGGAAACCGCCGGUAUGGCAACAGCCGGUACGAAAUUGGGAAAACCUGCUGGACCUAAGCCACAACAUUUACCCGUGUCGUUGUCACUUGUUUGUGUACAUAU
RNAcentral lists this small RNA (611 nucleotides) under Desulfoscipio gibsoniae DSM 7213. The record is from RNAcentral. Lineage: Bacteria; Bacillati; Bacillota; Clostridia; Eubacteriales; Desulfallaceae.